This 98-nucleotide signal recognition particle RNA is filed under the name Sulfurimonas sp. Its description in RNAcentral is "signal recognition particle sRNA small type". It matches the Rfam family "Bacterial small signal recognition particle RNA". From Rfam's summary of the family: The signal recognition particle (SRP) is a universally conserved ribonucleoprotein involved in the co-translational targeting of proteins to membranes. Archaeal SRP consists of a 7S RNA and homologues of the eukaryotic SRP19 and SRP54 proteins. Lineage: Bacteria; Pseudomonadati; Campylobacterota; Epsilonproteobacteria; Campylobacterales; Sulfurimonadaceae. The record is from RNAcentral.
UCUUUAGACCUGUGCAAUGGUGGUUUAGGAUAAUGUGUCAGGGUAGGAAUACAGCAGCACACCUUAGAUUGUUAUGUGCCGCAGGUAUCUGGAGGGGA